UUUMGAAAGUUCAUAMUUUCAAAAUUUGUACCUUGAAAAYURAAUAAKUWAGWGAUUACAAAAGACAUCUAUCAAGUUGAACUUGAURAAAUAUAUGAGAGAAAACUCAUUAAAAAACACCAAUUAUUCUUUUAACACUGGUCGAAAGACCAAAAUUAGAAAAAUCUCAUUAAUAACU
Molecule: unclassified non-coding RNA, 178 nt
Filed under: Peptostreptococcus anaerobius
Lineage: Bacteria; Bacillati; Bacillota; Clostridia; Peptostreptococcales; Peptostreptococcaceae
Description: partial 16S-23S ribosomal RNA intergenic spacer
Source: RNAcentral